Catharus ustulatus (Swainson's thrush) is the source of this 2362-nucleotide long non-coding RNA. RefSeq lists it as uncharacterized. Lineage: Eukaryota; Metazoa; Chordata; Aves; Passeriformes; Turdidae. The transcript has 3 exons. The record is from RefSeq and is a predicted model, not a curated record.
CCUCUACCGCGUCUGGCUUUUCUUCACCUCCACUCGCUCCCUCUCCGGAAUCCGGGAGCAAUGAGGCUGCGACAGCAGGCGAUGUCCUAUCAAGGUCCUGCUGAAUGUCAUCACAACCUUCAAGUGUAUGAGCCACUCCCCCCAGUUUGGUAUCAUCAGAGGGCUUGCUGAGAAUACAUUCUGUCCCUUCAUCCAGGAAAACAAGAUGAACAAGACUGGACCUGGUAUUGAUACCUGGGGAAUGCCAUUGACUACAGGCCUUCAACUGGAUUCUACUCUGCUGAUUGUGAUCCUCUGAGCUCUGCCAUUCAGAUAGCUCUUGAUUUGCCUCACUGUCCAUUCAUCCACAAUUCCUAAGUUUAUCCACAAGAAUGUUAUGGGAGUCAGUGCCCAAAGCCUUGCUGAAGUCAAGGUAGCCAACAUUCAUUACCCUCUCCUUGUCAACCCAUCCUGCCAUGCUAUCAUAGAAGACUAUCAGAUUUGUCAAACGUGAUUUUCCCUUGGUGAGUCCAUGCUGACUAUUCCUGAUGACCCUUUUCUUUUACAUGUAUGUUGAUGACUUCCAGUACUCCCUGUUCCAUCACCUUUCCAUCACCUUUUCCAUCUUUCCAGGCUUCCCCUAUUCCCUGUUCCAUCACCAGGGGUGAAGGAGAGACUGACUGGCCAGUGGUUUCCCAGGUCCUCCUCCUUGCCUUUUGUGAAGAUGGGGGUAACUUUGUCCUUCCUCCAAUUGUCAGGUACCUCUCCCAUUCCCUUCCAGAGAUGAUGGCGAGUGGCAGACCAACAUCAUCUGCAGAUCACUCAGCACCCAUGGGAGCAUCCAAACAAGGGAUGUGGAUGUAUUAGUGUUUAAUCUGUCUAGCCAGUCUCUAACCCAACCUCCAUGACCAAGGCUUCCUUUCUGCAGCCUUCUUCUCUUACAUCCAAAGUCUAGGAAUCUUGAGAACCACCCCGAACAGUGAAGACUGGGGCAAAGAAAACCCUUCAUAAUUUCAUCUUCUCUGUGUUUUCUGUUACCAUAAUGCCCAUCUGAUUUAUCAGUGGCCCUACAUUUUCCUUUUGCUACUGAUACACUUCUAGAAACCCUUCUUGUUGUCCUUUCCAGACUCAAUUCCAGGUAGGCUUUGGCCUUCCUGAAGAUGACCUGCUGUAUGUUGUAGCCACACACUAGCAAGAUGCAGCAAGAGAAAAGGGAGAAAAGGCAAGGAGCAGCACCACCCAUCCUGAGGGGGUCACCUCUGUAAAUGGACCAUAAUGGAACAGAAUAGAUACCAGCGGAAUAGGCUGCUGAAAUGACCAUCAGACACUCCAAAAAUACCACGUAACUCCUAGGACCAAAUCAUUCUGUUGUGAACUCCCCUAUCCUGGGGGAGGUACCACCUGAGUUCCACUGCAUGUACUGCAUGUACUCUUGAGUUUUGGGGAUUUGGAAUUCCACCACUGCUCAACGGACCCAGAGGAGGACCCAAACUUCCACAGGAGGACUGGAACUUCCACGGGACCACACCUUUCAACAAGACUGCAACCUUCACUUCAACCACUGCUUAACUGGACUGCAGCCUGACCAACAGAGUGCCAUGUUGUACUCUGACUUUGUAGGUUUAAGCCAGUUUUUCUGUAUCAUUGUAUUUAUUGUAAUCUUUCUGUAAAUUGUAACUCCAACCUGAAAUCUCUCUGAAGGUGUUUGUGUGGGAUUCAUUUCUCCUGCUGGUUUACUUUUGAACUGGCACACCUGCUUGAAAGUAAUAUAAUAUUGGGACCUUUUUUUCAUUUUGUGUCAUAGGAAAGUUUGUUUCUGCAGGGAGGAGAAAUGGGAGAAAUAGAAGAAAAUUCAUUAGUUUAGCUGAAAUAAUGGAGGCUAAAUGAUGUCUUCUUUCUUAAAUUAAAUCAAUGGGCUGAAUGCCACUUUUAAUCUGAAUUUCAGGUAAUUUCUCCCUAGGCACUUAUGUAUGACCAUUAGUGAAGACAGAAUGGAUAUGCUGGAAAAACCUUUUGUUUUUCCAGUUUGAUGUGGCAGAUCUUUUGUUCUCUGUGCCCGGGAAUUGUGAGAUUUUUGGAGAAUGAGUUACUGAGCUGUGACUUGGUGACCUAAAGUAGCUCCUAGAGGGUCAGAAAUGUGGCAGAGUUAUUGCUAGAGCACCAAUUGUACCCAGCUGGGAGAGAGAAGAGGGCUGUGUGACAUGGACAUUUUACCCAUCAGCAUGCUUACAGGUUUCAUUGUCACACAGAGUUGCUGCUGUUUGUACUGCACCUAUGCUGUCCUCUGGACACUCCCACUUCUUGGGGUGUUAUUGGUAUACUGAUUACUGAUACGUCUGGCCAUCCACAAUACCUACCCUCAGAUCUUGUAAAAGAAAUAGAA